UGAGCAAGCCGAGGGAAGCAAG
RNAcentral lists this unclassified non-coding RNA (22 nucleotides) under Mus musculus (house mouse). RNAcentral describes it as "oocyte_clustered_small_RNA9963". The record is from RNAcentral. Lineage: Eukaryota; Metazoa; Chordata; Mammalia; Rodentia; Muridae.